Molecule: ribosomal RNA, 478 nt
Filed under: uncultured bacterium
Lineage: Bacteria
Description: partial 16S ribosomal RNA
Rfam family: Bacterial small subunit ribosomal RNA
Source: RNAcentral
GACGAACGCUGGCGGCGUGCUUAACACAUGCAAGUCGAACGGUAAGGCCCUUCGGGGUACACGAGUGGCGAACGGGUGAGUAACGCGUGGGUGAUCUGCCCUGCACUUCGGGAUAAGCCUGGGAAACUGGGUCUAAUACCGGAUAGGACCACUGCCUGCAUGGGGGGUGGUGGAAAGCUUUUGCGGUGUGGGAUGGGCCCGCGGCCUAUCAGCUUGUUGGUGGGGUGAUGGCCUACCAAGGCGACGACGGGUAGCCGGCCUGAGAGGGUGACCGGCCACACGGGGACUGAGAUACGGCCCAGACUCCUACGGGAGGCAGCAGUGGGGAAUAUUGCACAAUGGGCGCAAGCCUGAUGCAGCGACGCCGCGUGAGGGAUGACGGACUUCGGGUUGUAAACCUCUUUCAGCACCGACGAAGCGCAAGUGACGGUAGGUGCAGAAGAAGGACCGGCCAACUACGUGCCAGCAGCCGCGGUAA